CGAACGUGGGUAACCUGCCUUAUAUGGGGGAUAGCCUUUCGAAAGGAAGAUUAAUACCGCAUAAGAUUGUAGUAUCGCAUGAUAUAGCAAUUAAAGGAGCAAUUCGCUAUAAGAUGGACCCGCGUCGCAUUAGCUAGUUGGUGAGGUAAUGGCUCACCAAGGCGACGAUGCGUAGCCGACCUGAGAGGGUGAUCGGCCACAUUGGGACUGAGACACGGCCCAGACUCCUACGGGAGGCAGCAUG
RNAcentral lists this ribosomal RNA (244 nucleotides) under uncultured bacterium. RNAcentral describes it as "partial 16S ribosomal RNA". It matches the Rfam family "Bacterial small subunit ribosomal RNA", at positions 112 to 353 of the family's 1533-position model. The record is from RNAcentral.